AUUUGGUUCCUAAAACGUGAGGUGAGCUGCUGAUUCUACUCUUGGAGUGACUCAACAUAAUGCUUCCAGAAAAGGCUUUUAACCGGAAAUAAGAUAAAAGAAUAAAAAAAAAGACCAUAGUAGAUCUAUGAUUAGCCCUCGGUCGGGAUGGUCCUGUCGAAGAACUUGAUUCAUGCAAAGAAAGAAACUUAGGAUAGGAGACUUAUGGAAGCAGCAGGGCUGGGUCUGCGAGUGAAACCCCAAAACCUCAAAUCCACUAAUGCCUAUCAAAUAAGAGUCCUACCGAGGAUCCGGUGUCUAAGGUGUCUAGGAUUUCUCCCAAAAGUAAGUAGGAGUGCUCUUCCUUUCAAGCCUUCUGCCUUACAGUCUAUAGACCUUACCUCACUAAUCUUUUAUUUUCUCUCGGGAUUUUGUUUGAGUUGCUGUCUCAGUAGUUGCAUUCCCUCUAGUCCCCUUGAAAGAGGAAAAGGGCCUAAGCCUGUUUAGUUCCAUCUCCUUGAGUUUCAAUUGGAAUGCUAGGGG
RNAcentral lists this long non-coding RNA (522 nucleotides) under Nicotiana benthamiana. RNAcentral's name for it is "long non-coding RNA (NBEN_LNC022211)". The record is from RNAcentral. Lineage: Eukaryota; Viridiplantae; Streptophyta; Magnoliopsida; Solanales; Solanaceae.